This 468-nucleotide ribosomal RNA is filed under the name uncultured bacterium. RNAcentral's name for it is "partial 16S ribosomal RNA". It matches the Rfam family "Bacterial small subunit ribosomal RNA", at positions 28 to 507 of the family's 1533-position model. The record is from RNAcentral.
GACGAACGCUGGCGGCGUGCUUAACACAUGCAAGUCGAACGGAAAGGCCCUGCUUUUGUGGGGUGCUCGAGUGGCGAACGGGUGAGUAACACGUGAGUAACCUGCCCUUGACUUUGGGAUAACUUCAGGAAACUGGGGCUAAUACCGGAUAGGAGCUCCUGCUGCAUGGUGGGGGUUGGAAAGUUUCGGCGGUUGGGGAUGGACUCGCGGCUUAUCAGCUUGUUGGUGGGGUAGUGGCUUACCAAGGCUUUGACGGGUAGCCGGCCUGAGAGGGUGACCGGCCACAUUGGGACUGAGAUACGGCCCAGACUCCUACGGGAGGCAGCAGUGGGGAAUAUUGCACAAUGGGCGGAAGCCUGAUGCAGCAACGCCGCGUGCGGGAUGACGGCCUUCGGGUUGUAAACCGCUUUCGCCUGUGACGAAGCGUGAGUGACGGUAAUGGGAAAAGAAGCACCGACUAACUACGUG